GUCUACGGCCAUACCACCCUGAACGCGCCCCAUCUCGUCUGAUCUCGGAAGCUAAGCAGGGUCAGGCCUGGUUAGUACUUGGAUGGGAGAAUAGCAACAUAAUAAUUGUUACUA
Molecule: ribosomal RNA, 114 nt
Filed under: Neogale vison (American mink)
Lineage: Eukaryota; Metazoa; Chordata; Mammalia; Carnivora; Mustelidae
Source: RNAcentral